This is a long non-coding RNA of Gadus morhua (Atlantic cod), 646 nucleotides long. RefSeq lists it as uncharacterized. The transcript is spliced from 3 exons. The record is from RefSeq and is a predicted model, not a curated record. Lineage: Eukaryota; Metazoa; Chordata; Actinopteri; Gadiformes; Gadidae.
AUUUUUGUAUUGCCGUCAAUGCAAAAAUGGAUCGUUUCUUCGCCACUUCCCUGGUGGGUAUUCCCAAAUUGCGAUUCGAAGAUGUGCAGAAGAUUGUGGAGACACACUCAGCAACACCACAGCCCAGGCUGACAAAGGGGUACAAGUUUUUUGUGGAGGAGUUUGUACACAAUUAUCAAGAUCACCCUGGAGGCUGUUGGACAACUGGGUCUCUCAGAGCUGUAGCUGUGCUGCGGGCAAAGGCUUCUGUAGCCAUAUAACCGCUCUGCUGUUCCAGACAGCGCAUUAUGUGCAGCUGGGCCUUGAUGUGGUUCCACCUUCCCUGGCCUGUACCAGUCAACCACAGAUGUGGCACCGACCUCGAACCCAUGUGUGCUGUUGUGUCCUCUGUUCAAAUCAUACACUUCAGUAUUUGUCUAGAGUAUAUGCAUUUCCUGUAUUGUUGUUCGCCUCAGGGAAUCCAUCCAGAGGCUGUGAGUGACCUGGUGGUGAAGAAACCCAAGUCGGUGGGGAAGACUGGAGUCAAGUCCACACUCUACAGAGCGUAUGCUGAGGGAAUAUCCAGCUUGGAGUUGGUACCAUCUCAGCUGUGCUGACCUGGAAGAUGUCAGCAAUGACCUGUUCUUUAAGGCCAGUUGCUACUCUA